Molecule: non-coding RNA, 81 nt
Organism: Lentinula lateritia
Lineage: Eukaryota; Fungi; Basidiomycota; Agaricomycetes; Agaricales; Omphalotaceae
Source: the annotation of a GenBank genome assembly
GGUCUAAUAGUGUAGAGGUUAUCACAUGGGAUUUUGACAGUGGUAUUUCCCAUAACCCAGGUUCGAGUCCUGGUUAGACCU